Molecule: long non-coding RNA, 834 nt
Filed under: Equus caballus (horse)
Lineage: Eukaryota; Metazoa; Chordata; Mammalia; Perissodactyla; Equidae
Description: lncRNA (ENSECAG00000043769.2)
Source: RNAcentral
ACUCAGUCCUCUCAAUAACCCUCUGGAGAGGCAUCCAGUAUUGUCCCCUCUACUUCACAGAUGAGGAAACUGAGGCACAGAGAAAUUGAGUAACUUCCCCAAGGUUAUACGACCAACGCGGCUGACCUUAGGGACCGAGAUGGUAGCGGCUGGUUCCAGGCAGCAAGAUGGAGGAAGGGACAAGGAAGAGAGCAAAGCUACUCACCUGACACUGGACACUUCUGCUCACAUCCUGUUGGCCAGAACUUAGUCACAGGACCUGACCUAAACUACAAAGAAGCCUUGAAAAUUAGUCUUUUCUUUCCGGGUGAAAAUGUUCAGCCCCAGCUGCAAAUUCUAUUAUGUGGAAAAAAGAGAGACAGGAUCUUGAGGAACAACUAGAAGUUUCUACCAACACAAAAUCGUCUUUCUGGAUUUAGCCUAAAGGUUCAUGUGGAUAAAGAAAAGAUCCAUUUAUUCAUUCAUUCAAUGACUCACUUAGUUGUUUAACUCAACAGAUAUUUAUUGAGUACCUACUAUGUGCUAGGCACUGUUCUGUGGGCUGAGCUAUACUCGUGAGUUAAACAGGGUUCCCUGCCCUCAUGAAGCCUAUUACAUCCUAGCAGGGAAGAAAGACAACAAGUAAUAAAGAUAAGGAAUUAAAGGACACAGUAUAUUAGAAGAGGUAAAUUAUUAUAGCAGAAAGGAAAACUGAGACGGGAGCGUGGAAGUGAGCGGGGGUUGCGAUUUCACAUGGGUGCUCAGGGGUUGGCCUCAUCGUGAAGGUGAUGUUUGUGAAGAGACUUGAAGUAGGUGAAUAAGCGAGCCUCGCAGACAUCCAGGGAAACAGGCUCC